This 217-nucleotide long non-coding RNA is filed under the name Gossypium raimondii (Peruvian cotton). RNAcentral's name for it is "long non-coding RNA (GRAI_LNC009224)". Lineage: Eukaryota; Viridiplantae; Streptophyta; Magnoliopsida; Malvales; Malvaceae. The record is from RNAcentral.
UCUUAACAACUUUAUAUGGUCCAAGAUACCUUGGACUCAAUUUACCCUUCCUACCAAACCUCAAAACCUUCUUCCAAGGUGAAAAUUUCAAAAAUACCUUGUCGCCAACUUCAAACUCGAUGUCAUGACAUUUCAAAUUAGCAUUAGAUUUUUGCCUAUCCGAUGCUACUUUCAACCUUUCACAGAUCAACUUCACUUUCUCUUCACUCUCUCGAAC